Molecule: long non-coding RNA, 366 nt
Filed under: Pan troglodytes (chimpanzee)
Lineage: Eukaryota; Metazoa; Chordata; Mammalia; Primates; Hominidae
Description: long non-coding RNA NONPTRT004268
Source: RNAcentral
CAACAUAGUAGCAAAUUCACUUUCUACCUAUUCUUGGAUGACUCCCCAAACAAUAUUAUCUACAGCCCAGACGUUUCUAAGCUCCAGGCCCCACCGCACACCAGGCAUCUCUACUUGAUUGUCUACAUCCUUCUGGCUUGCUGUGUUUCAGACUGAACUUCCUCCUAUAUUCUUCUCAGAGAAGGGCUCUACCAUCUGCUGAAUUGCUCAAAUUUGAUUCCCUUCCCCGCAUCCAGCAGUUGCUCUUUCUUGUCCAUUCUGUUUCUUGUCUCUUGAAUCCACCCCCAUCACAUGGUCCCACCUGCCUCUCCCCUAGGCCAGGCCCGUGCCACCUUUUCCCCAGACUCUUCCUGCAGCUUUACUCCG